AAAAUUUUCAAUUCAAACUAGGCCACCCGUUAAUAGUGAACUGGAUUUAACCCCUUAAUUGGUGUUCUUCAUCCGCUAACAAUUUUCGCCAUCUUCUUCUCCAAAUUUCAGCCAUAAUUUACCGUAUGAGUGAGGCCCAAUGAGUAUGGGGAAGAUAUUAAUCGUAGCCUUGUUGACAAGAAGCCGCCGGAUUAUCCUUUUUCGGGUUGCUAGUUAAUCGCAGAUAGGUUUUCCAAUAUAUUUCUCUCAACUGGAUGAUUAAAAUGGCAUUGGUAUCUCUAGGGUGAUUGUUGAGGGGAUAAGAAACAAGAUGAAAUACUAGUUUUUUUAUUUAGCAUGACAGUAAUGGACAUAUCUUCAGGUUGAAAGCUCGUUGGUAAAAGGAAAUUGAAGAGUCAAAAGGGUUUCAAGGACAAAGCCCAUAAAGCUUUUCUGGGGUAGGUUAUUA
RNAcentral lists this long non-coding RNA (448 nucleotides) under Nicotiana benthamiana. RNAcentral describes it as "long non-coding RNA (NBEN_LNC029053)". Lineage: Eukaryota; Viridiplantae; Streptophyta; Magnoliopsida; Solanales; Solanaceae. The record is from RNAcentral.